UACGUAGGGACCGAGCGUUGCCCGGAAUCAUUGGGCGUAAAGAGCGUGUAGGCGGCCACUUAAGUCCUGCGUGAAAUCUUGCGGCUCAACCGCAAGCGGUCGUGGGAAACUGGGUGGCUAGAGUGCGGGAGAGGAGAGUGGAAUUCCUGGUGUAGCGGUGAAAUGCGCAGAUAUCAGGAGGAACACCGGUGGCGAAGGCGGGUCUCUGGGCCGAUACUGACGCUGAGGAGCGAAAGCGUGGGGAGCGAACAGG
This 253-nucleotide ribosomal RNA is filed under the name uncultured bacterium. RNAcentral's name for it is "partial 16S ribosomal RNA". It matches the Rfam family "Bacterial small subunit ribosomal RNA", at positions 524 to 776 of the family's 1533-position model. The record is from RNAcentral.